GAUGAACGCUGGCGGCGUGCCUAAUACAUGCAAGUCGAGCGAACAGACGAGGAGCUUGCUCCUCUGACGUUAGCGGCGGACGGGUGAGUAACACGUGGAUAACCUACCUAUAAGUCUGGGAUAACUUCGGGAAACCGGAGCUAAUACCGGAUAAUAUAUUGAACCGCAUGGUUCAAUAGUGAAAGACGGUUUUGCUGUCACUUAUAGAUGGAUCCGCGCGGCAUUAGCUAGUUGGUAGGGUAACGGCUUACCAAGGCAACCAUGCCUAGCCGACCUGAGGGGGUGAACGGCCACACUGGAACUGAGAGACGGUCCAGAGUCCGACGGGAGGCAGCAGUAGGGAAUGGUCCGCAAUGGGCGAAAGCUUGACGGAGCAACGCCGCGUGAGUGAUGAAGGUCUUCGGAUCGUAAAACUCUGUUAUUGGGGAAGAACAAAUGUGUAAGUAACUAUGCACGUCUGGACGGUACCUAAUCAGAAGGCCAGGGCUAACUACGU
This 496-nucleotide ribosomal RNA is filed under the name uncultured bacterium. RNAcentral describes it as "partial 16S ribosomal RNA". It matches the Rfam family "Bacterial small subunit ribosomal RNA", at positions 28 to 506 of the family's 1533-position model. The record is from RNAcentral.